Molecule: ribosomal RNA, 216 nt
Filed under: uncultured bacterium
Lineage: Bacteria
Description: partial 16S ribosomal RNA
Rfam family: Bacterial small subunit ribosomal RNA
Source: RNAcentral
CAUCUCAGUUCGGAUUGCAGGCUGCAACUCGCCUGCAUGAAGCUGGAAUUGCUAGUAAUCGCGGAUCAGCAAGCCGCGGUGAAUACGUUCCCGGGCCUUGUACACACCGCCCGUCACACCAUGAGAGUCGGGAACACCCGAAGUCCGUAGUCUAACCGCAAGGGGGCGCGGCCGAAGGUGGGUCCGGUAAUUGGGGUGAAGUCGUAACAAGGUAAC